This 463-nucleotide ribosomal RNA is filed under the name uncultured bacterium. RNAcentral describes it as "partial 16S ribosomal RNA". It matches the Rfam family "Bacterial small subunit ribosomal RNA", at positions 339 to 795 of the family's 1533-position model. The record is from RNAcentral.
CUACGGGUGGCUCCAGUGGGGAAUCUUGCGCAAUGGGCGAAAGCCUGACGCAGCGACGCCGCGUGCGGGACGAAGGCCUUCGGGUUGUAAACCGCUUUCAGGGGGGAAGAAGCCACUCGGGUGAAUAGCCCAGAGGGUGACGGUACUCCCAGAAGAAGCCCCGGCUAACUACGUGCCAGCAGCCGCGGUAAUACGUAGGGGGCAAGCGUUGUCCGGAUUUAUUGGGCGUAAAGAGCGUGUAGGCGGCCAGAUAGGUCGGUUGUGAAAACUGGAGGCUCAACCUUCAGACGUCGACCGAAACCCUCUGGCUAGAGUCCGGGAGAGGAGAGUGGAAUUCCUGGUGUAGCGGUGGAAUGCGCAGAUAUCAGGAAGAACACCCGUGGCGAAAGCGGCUCUCUGGAACGGUACUGACGCUGAGACGCGAAAGCGUGGGGAGCGAACAGGAUUAGAUACCCCAGUAGUC